AGAGUUUGAUCCUGGCUCAGGACGAACGCUGGCGGCGUGCCUAAUACAUGCAAGUCGAGCGAGCGGAACCGACAGAUUUACUUCGGUAAUGACGUUGGGAAAGCGAGCGGCGGAUGGGUGAGUAACACGUGGGUAACCUGCCCAAGAGACUGGGAUAACAUUUGGAAACAGAUGCUAAUACCGGAUAAGAAAGCAGAUCGCAUGAUCAGCUUAUAAAAGACGGAUUUCUGUCACUCUCGGAUGGACCUGCGGUGCAUUAGCUAGUUGGUAAGGUAACGGCUUACCAAGGCGACGAUGCAUAGCCGAGUUGAGAGACUGAUCGGCCACAUUGGGACUGAGACACGGCCCAAACUCCUACGGGAGGCAGCAGUAGGGAAUCUUCCACAAUGGACGCAAGUCUGAUGGAGCAACGCCGCGUGAGUGAAGAAGGUUUUCGGAUCGUAAAGCUCUGUUAUUGGUGAAGAAAGAUAGAGGUAGUAACUGGCCUUUAUUUGACGGUAAUCAACCAGAAAGUCACGGCUAACUACGUGCCAGCAGCCGCGGUAAUAUGUAGGUGGCAAGCGUUGUCCGGAUUUAUU
This 578-nucleotide ribosomal RNA is filed under the name uncultured Lactobacillus sp. RNAcentral's name for it is "bacterial SSU rRNA". It matches the Rfam family "Bacterial small subunit ribosomal RNA", at positions 8 to 555 of the family's 1533-position model. Lineage: Bacteria; Bacillati; Bacillota; Bacilli; Lactobacillales; Lactobacillaceae. The record is from RNAcentral.